GUGAAUCAUCAAAUCUUUGAACGCAAAUUGCACUCUCUUCGGAGAGUAUGCCUGUUUGAGGGUCAGCCUAAAAAAAAUCGACAGAGUUGCUGUUUUCGCGGUGACAUGCGUCGGAAAUUGGGUCAUAUUCAACCUGUUGGUUUUAAGCGGCCUAAAACUUUCUUUACGGAUUCUACGAACGCUUAUAAGAUUUACUUCUUACACACGUUUAAGGUAUCGAUCUCCAUUAGACGUGGCCGUUGUAUC
RNAcentral lists this unclassified non-coding RNA (246 nucleotides) under Glomus sp. RNAcentral describes it as "partial contains 5.8S ribosomal RNA and internal transcribed spacer 2". The stretch from base 1 to 65 matches the Rfam family "5.8S ribosomal RNA", at positions 84 to 154 of the family's 154-position model. Lineage: Eukaryota; Fungi; Glomeromycota; Glomeromycetes; Glomerales; Glomeraceae. The record is from RNAcentral.